Molecule: non-coding RNA, 210 nt
Organism: Chrysemys picta bellii (western painted turtle)
Lineage: Eukaryota; Metazoa; Chordata; Testudines; Emydidae
Source: RefSeq, a predicted model, not a curated record
CCCUUCAGCCCCACGGUGACAUGGGCUGUUAUGUGUUUGAAUGAUUAAUCCUUCCUCUUCCUAUUCCAGGCCAGAAGGGCUGAGGUGCUGUUUCCCGAGGAGCUGUUCCAGGACUAGUGAGGAGCCUUUCCAAGCGUCACAGAAGGACGGGCCAGAGUUAACACGGCAUCGAGUUGUUUGUUGCAUAAUAAAGCUGCUGCUGAUUUCCAA